UACGUAGGUGGCAAGCGUUGUCCGGAAUUAUUGGGCGUAAAGCGCGCGCAGGCGGUUCCUUAAGUCUGAUGUGAAAGCCCACGGCUCAACCGUGGAGGGUCAUUGGAAACUGGGGAACUUGAGUGCAGGAGAGAAGAGUGGAAUUCCACGUGUAGCGGUGAAAUGCGUAGAGAUGUGGAGGAACACCAGUGGCGAAGGCGACUCUUUGGCCUGUAACUGACGCUGAGGCGCGAAAGCGUGGGGAGCAAACA
Molecule: ribosomal RNA, 251 nt
Filed under: uncultured prokaryote
Description: partial 16S ribosomal RNA
Rfam family: Bacterial small subunit ribosomal RNA
Source: RNAcentral